RNAcentral lists this small nucleolar RNA (209 nucleotides) under Oryzias latipes (Japanese medaka). Its description in RNAcentral is "Small nucleolar RNA U3 (ENSORLG00020013207.1)". It matches the Rfam family "Small nucleolar RNA U3". Rfam says of the family: Small nucleolar RNAs (snoRNAs) are involved in the processing and modification of rRNA in the nucleolus. There are two main classes of snoRNAs: the box C/D class, and the box H/ACA class. The record is from RNAcentral. Lineage: Eukaryota; Metazoa; Chordata; Actinopteri; Beloniformes; Adrianichthyidae.
AAGACUCUACUUUCAGGGAUCAUUUCUUUAGUUUGGAACUAGAGGAUUGUGUUUCUACAGAGGUUGGUCUUGCUGUCCAUGAUGAUGAUGAAUGAAGAUGUUUCCUUCAGAGCAGGAAGCUGGUGAGAAGAUGAGAAUCUUCUUCACUGAUGAAGACUGUUCAGUGUUUCUGGAUGUGACACUGAAGGAGGAAACAUUGUCUGAGUGGA